Molecule: ribosomal RNA, 500 nt
Filed under: uncultured bacterium
Lineage: Bacteria
Description: bacterial SSU rRNA
Rfam family: Bacterial small subunit ribosomal RNA
Source: RNAcentral
AGAGUUUGAUCAUGGCUCAGAUUGAACGCUGGCGGAAUGCUUACACGUGCAAGUCGAACGGCAGCACGGGGCAACCUGGUGGCGAGUGGCGAACGGGUGAGUAAUACAUCGGAACGUGCCCAAUCGUGGGGGAUAACGUAGCGAAAGUUACGCUAAUACCGCAUACGAUCUACGGAUGAAAGCGGGGGAUCGCAAGACCUCGCGCGAGUGGAGCGGCCGAUGUCAGAUUAGGUAGUUGGUGGGGUAAAGGCUCACCAAGCCAACGAUCUGUAGCUGGUCUGAGAGGACGACCAGCCACACUGGAACUGAGACACGGUCCAGACUCCUACGGGAGGCAGCAGUGGGGAAUUUUGGACAAUGGGCGCAAGCCUGAUCCAGCCAUUCCGCGUGCAGGAUGAAGGCCUUCGGGUUGUAAACUGCUUUGUACGGAACGAAACGGCGAGCUCUAAUACAGUUUGCUAAUGACGGUACCGUAAGAAUAAGCACCGGCUAACUACGUG